RNAcentral lists this transfer RNA (71 nucleotides) under Loxodonta africana (African savanna elephant). It matches the Rfam family "tRNA". From Rfam's summary of the family: Transfer RNA (tRNA) molecules are approximately 80 nucleotides in length. Lineage: Eukaryota; Metazoa; Chordata; Mammalia; Proboscidea; Elephantidae. The record is from Rfam by way of RNAcentral.
ACAUCGGUAAUCUAGUGUUAGAAUGUGUGCCUUCCAUGCAGAAGACCUGGCUUUGAUUCCCAGCCAAUGCA